CUACUGUUACUAAGAUUGUAGAGUCCCGUCGCAUCUUUUAUUUUAAAACAUGGGAACACACAAAAAAAUAAUACAUUGUCUUUUACGCCAGUUCCACCUUUGGAUCAAAUUCAGUUCGAUUCGGAAGAUAACUUAGAUUGUGGUAGCUGGAAAUCUCCAGGCCUGUCUCUGUAUCGUCCCAGUCUGUUGGGGAUGAUGCAGAAUGCCUGGAAGACAUACAUGUACUUUAAUACAACCAAUGACAAUAAAAUUGAUGAGAAUAAUAACCAUAUUGAUUUGACCGUAUGAUCUUCAGUUCCAGAGGUACAAAUGCCAAAGGUCAUCAGGAAAUAGAGAAUUUUCAUCUGCUUGACUGUU
Molecule: long non-coding RNA, 357 nt
Filed under: Mytilus galloprovincialis (Mediterranean mussel)
Lineage: Eukaryota; Metazoa; Mollusca; Bivalvia; Mytilida; Mytilidae
Source: RNAcentral